GUCAGUGGCUCUCGCGAGGGGGAAGCGCGAACCUGGUCAGGACUUAAGUGGAGCAGCCAUAAGCGUCGUACUCUUGUGCGAGGGCCUCUAACGGG
Molecule: signal recognition particle RNA, 95 nt
Filed under: Pirellula sp. SH-Sr6A
Lineage: Bacteria; Pseudomonadati; Planctomycetota; Planctomycetia; Pirellulales; Pirellulaceae
Description: Bacterial small signal recognition particle RNA
Rfam family: Bacterial small signal recognition particle RNA
About the family: The signal recognition particle (SRP) is a universally conserved ribonucleoprotein involved in the co-translational targeting of proteins to membranes.
Source: Rfam by way of RNAcentral